Molecule: ribosomal RNA, 400 nt
Filed under: uncultured bacterium
Lineage: Bacteria
Description: bacterial SSU rRNA
Rfam family: Bacterial small subunit ribosomal RNA
Source: RNAcentral
UGGGGAAUAUUGGACAAUGGGCGAAAGCCUGAUCCAGCAAUGCCGCGUGAGUGAUGAAGGCCUUAGGGUUGUAAAGCUCUUUUACCCGGGAUGAUAAUGACAGUACCGGGAGAAUAAGCCCCGGCUAACUCCGUGCCAGCAGCCGCGGUAAUACGGAGGGGGCUAGCGUUGUUCGGAAUUACUGGGCGUAAAGCGCGCGUAGGCGGCUUUGUAAGUUAGAGGCGAAAGCCCAGGGCUCAACCCUGGAAUUGCCUUUAAGACUGCAUCGCUAGAAUUGUGGAGAGGUGAGUGGAAUUCCGAGUGUAGAGGUGAAAUUCGUAGAUAUUCGGAAGAACACCAGUGGCGAAGGCGGCAUCCUGGACCGGUAUUGACGCUGAGGCGCGAAAGCCAGGGGAGCAAA